ACGGAAGGCAGCAGUGGGGAAUAUUGCACAAUGGGGGAAACCCUGAUGCAGCAACGCCGCGUGAAGGAUGAAGGCCCUUGGGUCGUAAACUUCUGUUCUAAGGGAAGAUAAUGACGGUACCUUAGGGGCAAGUCCCGGCUAACUACGUGCCAGCAGCCGCGGUAAUACGUAGGGGGCAAGCGUUAUCCGGAAUUAUUGGGCGUAAAGAGUGCGUAGGUGGUUUCCUAAGCAUGGGGUUUAAGGCAAUGGCUUAACCAUUGUUCGCCCCAUGAACUGGGUUACUUGAGUGCUGGAGAGGAAAGCGGAAUUCCUAGUGUAGCGGUGAAAUGCGUAGAUAUUAGGAAGAACACCAGUGGCGAAGGCGGUUAGCUGGACAGUAACUGACGCUGAGGCGCGAAAGCGUGGGUAGCAAACAGGAUUAGAUACCCUGGUA
This 433-nucleotide ribosomal RNA is filed under the name uncultured Anaerovorax sp. RNAcentral's name for it is "bacterial SSU rRNA". It matches the Rfam family "Bacterial small subunit ribosomal RNA", at positions 341 to 792 of the family's 1533-position model. Lineage: Bacteria; Bacillati; Bacillota; Clostridia; Peptostreptococcales; Anaerovoracaceae. The record is from RNAcentral.